AUGUGGAAUCCGUGGAUUUUGCAGAACCAGUGGCCAUGGCUCUUACUUUGUCCAGCAGGGUUUUCUGCCGAGACCUGGGGCGGGGGGCAGUGUUCAGGCAGUGCCACAAUAUCCCACAGCCCUUCCCUUGGGAAUGGUGCUCGGUUUGGGCACAGGGGCACUGCUGGGGCCAUCCCAGCCUCUGCUGCUGGCACUGAGGGGGGAACACGAUAUUUCAACUGGGGACGUGUUGGGAGCCUCCAGCUGAGCCUUCCGGGGGAUUUUUGCUUCCUUAGAGCAGCUGGAAGGAGUUUCCUGUGCACAGGAGCUGGGCUGGGGCCCUUCCCGGGCUGCUCCAUCCCUUCCAAGGCUGCUCCAUCCCCUCCCGGGCUGCUCCAUCCCUUCCAAGGCUGCUCCAUCCCUUCCAAGGCUGCUCCAUCCCUUCCCGGGCUGCUCCAUCCCUUCCAAGGCUGCUCCAUCCCCUCCCGGGCUGCUCCAUCCCUUCCCGGGCUGCUCCAUCCCUUCCCGGGCUGCUCCAUCCCUUCCAAGGCUGCUCCAUCCCUUCCCGGGCUGCUCCAUCCCCUCGGUGCCCGGGGCUGUGCCUGUGCCGCUGCUGCCGCUCUCCGGCCGAGCUCGGCUCUGUCCCGGGUCCCGCUCUCCAUCCCCGGGGCCGUGCCCGUGUCCCGCCCCUGUCCUGGGGGCCCUGGCCCCCCACGGACACCCCGGGCAGUCCAUCCCGUUCCUCUGGAGCUCCUGCCAGAGCCUCACAGCUCCACCGCAGUGGGGUCACCCUCCCACUGGCCACCUCCUGUCCCUCCUGCCCUCCAAUCUGUCCCACUCUGGUCCCAGACCCAGCCAAAAGCUCCCCCCCGGACUCCAGCUCCUGCAGCUCCCAGGCCUUUCCUGCCCAGCCCUAGGGCAGGCUGUGCACCCCAACACCCCAAAAUAUGGGAUGUAGCUGCUCGGGAGCAGGCAGGAAGCCAGACCCUGUGCCAGAGGGCGGCAGCAGAGCUCAGAGUUUCUUUGUGCUCCAGCCGGGCCCUGCCAGUGGCAUUCAAAGGCAAAGGCUCAGCUCGGACCAAGCCAUUGAUGCUGUAUUUAGGUCAAAAUAAAAGAAAAAAACCAAACAAACAAAAAAAAAAAAAAAAAAAAAAAAAAAAGCAAGCAAACAAAAGAGGAAGAAGGGAAAAGGCAGCUUCCAGUCAUAUCUCGUUUAUUAAGGUCUAUGCCAGCCUCGGGAGAGCUCUUCCAGUAAGUAAACAGAGCAGGCGGCCGCAUCUAUAA
RNAcentral lists this long non-coding RNA (1263 nucleotides) under Serinus canaria (Common canary). Its description in RNAcentral is "lncRNA (ENSSCAG00000003654.1)". Lineage: Eukaryota; Metazoa; Chordata; Aves; Passeriformes; Fringillidae. The record is from RNAcentral.